RNAcentral lists this ribosomal RNA (513 nucleotides) under Nigrospora oryzae. Its description in RNAcentral is "eukaryotic LSU rRNA". The stretch from base 154 to 307 matches the Rfam family "5.8S ribosomal RNA". The record is from RNAcentral. Lineage: Eukaryota; Fungi; Ascomycota; Sordariomycetes; Amphisphaeriales; Apiosporaceae.
CAGAGUUAUCCAACUCCCAAACCCAUGUGAACUUAUCUCUUUGUUGCCUCGGCGCAAGCUACCCGGGACCUCGCGCCCCGGGGGGCCCGCCGGCGGACAAACCAAACUCUGUUAUCUUCGUUGAUUAUCUGAGUGUCUUAUUUAAUAAGUCAAAACUUUCAACAACGGAUCUCUUGGUUCUGGCAUCGAUGAAGAACGCAGCGAAAUGCGAUAAGUAAUGUGAAUUGCAGAAUUCAGUGAAUCAUCGAAUCUUUGAACGCACAUUGCGCCCAUUAGUAUUCUAGUGGGCAUGCCUGUUCGAGCGUCAUUUCAACCCCUAAGCACAGCUUAUUGUUGGGACUCUACGGCUUCGUAGUUCCCCAAAGACAUUGGCGGAGUGGCAGCAGUCCUCUGAGCGUAGUAAUUCUUUAUCUCGCUUUUGUUAGGCGCUGCCCCCCCGGCCGUAAAACCCCCAAUUUUUUCUGGUUGACCUCGGAUCAGGUAGGAAUACCCGCUGAACUUAAGCAUAUCAAU